ACCUAACAGUGCUAUAGAAUACUAAAACUUAUUCCUCCUAUGCGUUAACCAACCUCUCCCUAUUCCCCCACCCCUCUUUCCUUCCCAGACUCUAACAAUUACAAUACUAUUAUCUACUUUUAUGAGCUCAAUUUUUUUAGCUCCCACAUAUGGGUGAGACAUUCUGCUAUUUAUGUUUCUGUGCUUGACUUAUUUCAGUUAACAUAAUGUCCUCCAGUUUCAUCUAUGUUGCUGUGAAUGACAGAAUUGCAUUAUUUUUAUGGCUGGAUAGUAUGCCAUUGUGUAUAUAUGCCACAUUUUAAAAAUCCAUUCAUCUAGUGAUGAAUAUUUAGGUUAAUAUCCUGGCUAUCAUGAAUAGUGCUGCAAUAAUUAUGGGGGUGCAGGUAUCUUUUGAUAUACUGACUUUCUUCCCUUUGAAUAAAUACCCAGUAGUGAGAUUGCUGGAUCAUAUCAUAGUUCUAUUUUAGGUUCUUUGAUAAACUUCUAAACUGUUUUCCAUAAUGGCAGUACCAAUUUAACCUUCAUACUGACCAUAAAUAAGAAUUCCCUUUUUCUCUGCAUACUCGCCAGCACUUCUUUUUGUUUGAUUUUGUUUUGUUUUGUUUUUGAUGAAAGCCAUUCUAACUGCAGUGAAAUGAUGUCUCACUGUUCUUUUGAUCUGCAUUUCUCUGAUGAUUAGUGGUGCUGAGCAUUUUUUUCAUAUAUUUCGCCAUUUUGUACCUUCUUUAGAGAAAUGUCUAUUUAGAGCCUUUGCCCAUUUUUUAAUCCCAUUUUUUUUUUCUGUUGAGUUCCUCGUCUAGUCAGGGUAUUAAAAUCCCUGUUGAAUAAAUAGUUUGCAAAUAUUUCCUCCCAUUCCGUAGGUUAUCUCUUCACUUUUUCAGUUGUUUCCUUUGGUGUGUAGAAGCUUUUUACCUUGAUGUGAUCCCACUUAUCCAUUUUUGCUUUGGUUGCCUAUGCUUUCUUUUGUGAUCUUACUCAAUAAAUAUUUGCACAGACAAAAUGUCCUGGAGAGUUUCCCCAGAGUUUUCUUCUAGUAGUAUCAUAGUGUCAGGUCUUAGAUUUAAGUCUUUAAUCCAUUGUGAUUCGAUUUUUGUAUAUGGUACUAGAAGGGGUUCUGGUUUCAUUUUUCUGCCUACAUAUACCUAGUUUUUCCAGCAUCAUUUAUUGAAGAGGCUAUCAUUUUCCCAAUUUAUAUUCUUGGGAACUUUAUUAAAAAUGAGUUGACUAUAAAUAUCUGGAUUUACUUUGGGAUUUUCUAUUCUGUUGCAUUGUUACAUGUGUCUGUUAUUAUGUCAGUACUGUCCCAUUUUGGUUACUAUAGAUUUAUAGUAUAAUUUGAAGUCAGGUAAUGCAAUGCCUUCACCUUUUGCUCAGGAUUGCUUUGGCUAUUUGGGUUAUUUUGUGGUUCAAUAAAAAUUUUAGGAUAUUUUUUCUAUUUCUGUAAAUAUGUCAUUGUUAUAGUGAUAGGAAUUACAUUACAACUGGAGAUCACUUUGAGAAGUAUGAUAAUUUUAACAAUAUUUUUUUAAGUUGUGAUUUAUGUUGAUAAUUUUUCUUUUUUGAUACAAGGUGUCUGUCUGACAUCCAAGUUGGAGUGGAGUGGCAUGAUCCUAGCACACUCCAGCCUCGAACUCCUGAGCUGAAGCAAUCUUCCAGCCUCAGCCUCCCAAGAAGCUGGGAUUAUAGAAAUUCUGUGGCGUAACAAGUUGCUGUCACACUGGCUUUUUAAAAUAUAUGUAUAUAUUUGAAAUACACAUGCACACAACUAAGUUAGAUUCGUCCACCGUUACUAAUAGAAAACUACAAUGUAGUGGCUUAAAAGGAGAAGGAAUUCUGUUUCUCAUGGUUCAGUGUGAAUGAGUGCAGUAUUCAAAAACAUGAAGUCAGAGUCCAGUACUCAAGUUCUGUAUCACUGAACAUCCUGUGGAAGGCCACCAGUCAAAGAGCAGCAAGAGCACACCUAAAUUAGGAUUAUUAGCUUGCUUCAGCUAAGGAGAAAGUUCUUCAUGAGAGCCAUCUAACCUCUUGGAAUCAGUUCAAUAAGUGGUUAUCUCGGGAAGUUUUAUUAAGAGUCAGAAGAAAUGAAGCUAGGCUGGGCAUGUCUUUGCUCAGAAGAAAAAAUUGUUACCAUCUUGCAUUAGCUUUGUGGUCUUUUUGAAUAAUAAUUAUAUUACCAAAACUAGAGAGAAAAAGUAAAAGAUCUAUAGCAUUGCUAACAUCUACUGUAUGUAAUUUGUUAUAUUUUUUAUUAUGUAUAAUAAAUGCUAUUCAGGCUCUUCUCAAUAUUACAUGCUUACAUUUCAGCUAAGAAAAUGGUAAAUUGUAUUCCAUAGACAUAUAACUUGUAGAAAAAUCAUUAAUUUAAAAAGAGCCAUAGCCAGGCACUGUGGCUUAUACCUAUAAUCCUAGCUAUUCACGCUGUCUAGAUGGGAGCAUCCCUUGAGUCCAGUAGUUCCAGGCUGCAGUGAGCUAUGAUCCUGCCACUACACUGCAGCCUGGGAAACAGAGGGAGUUCCCCAUCUCUUGAAAAAAAAAGCGGCAUCCAUAUUCUAAGUAUAAAUUAUUAUUAUUUGUCUAGGUUUUGCCAAUGCACUUUAUUAUAUAAUAUUAAGUAUUGAUUAAACUUACAUAUGGUAUACAAUUAGCUAUUUCUUUCCUAAAUGUAAGAAAUCUUCUUAUGUUUUUAUGUUUUUAAGAAGAGGAAAACUAACCUGAAUCUUAAACACAUUUCAUGUAUGAUACACUUCCUAUAUUACUCUUAUAAGACAAAGACAAUAUCAAAUAAAGAAAAUCUUGACAAUUAUGUAGUCAUAAGCUUUUAAACAAGAACCAAAUAGAUACUAGAUGAAUUUUCUCCUUUGGAUAUAAAAAAAAAUACUGAAGAUGUAGUCAUUUCGGGCAGCUGCAUUCCAUAUUUAGGGAAAGUUAUACAGUUUUUUUUUCAAAAAAAUAUUAAAUAUUAUUAAGAUAUUGAAAGAAAAUGAGAUAUGUUAUGCAUGUUCCUAGUAUAUCCCACACUAAUAAACACAUUUUUACAAAACUUUAUAAUAUAAUAGAUAUGUAAUGAUGUAUUUAUAUAAUGUGAUUGUUUUCUAAAAGCAGUAAAACAACAAAAUAUUCAAAGUCUAUUUAUAUAUAUUAAUAUUAUGUUUUGUAAAUUUUUUCUUCUAAUUGAACUUUUAAAACAGUUUUAAAGUACUGUCAG
Molecule: long non-coding RNA, 3205 nt
Filed under: Homo sapiens (human)
Lineage: Eukaryota; Metazoa; Chordata; Mammalia; Primates; Hominidae
Description: HSALNT0374326
Source: RNAcentral